UCGUACUAUCGCUUGCCUUAACUACCCUUGACCUCAUAGGCUACUAAUGUGAUAAGCAGCAUGACUACAAUUUAUUUUAGACGCUUGAGAAUGGAAAAAAAUAACGGAAAACUAACUUUUAAGUCGAAUUGACCAAAUGAGUUACUAUAACUUAUAAACAAAGACAAUAUACCAAUAUUAUCCCAUAUUGUGGAAUCUGGAGAGAGUAAUGUGUACGUAGAUCAAAUCCCUACCUUGUGAGGAUAAAGAAAU
This 252-nucleotide long non-coding RNA is filed under the name Nicotiana benthamiana. Its description in RNAcentral is "long non-coding RNA (NBEN_LNC020047)". Lineage: Eukaryota; Viridiplantae; Streptophyta; Magnoliopsida; Solanales; Solanaceae. The record is from RNAcentral.